This 1882-nucleotide ribosomal RNA is filed under the name human gut metagenome. RNAcentral describes it as "bacterial LSU rRNA". It matches the Rfam family "Bacterial large subunit ribosomal RNA", at positions 3 to 1978 of the family's 2925-position model. The record is from RNAcentral.
UCAAGCGAACAAGGGCGCAGGGCGAAUGCCUUGGCACUGGGAGCCGAUGAAAGACGUGAUAAGCUGCGAUAAGCUUCGGGGAGCUGCAAAUAAGCAUUGAUCCGGAGAUUUCUGAAUGAGGAAACUCACUUGGGUUCAUACUCAAGUACGCUGCACUGAAAUUUAAAAUAGGUGCAUCGGGGGAACCGCCUGAACUGAAACAUCUAAGUAGGGCGAGGAAGAGACAUCAAACGAGAUUCCGUAAGUAGUGGCGAGCGAACGCGGAAGAGGGCAAACCGAGAGUAGAAAUACUUUCGGGGUACGGACUGCUUUUAAGACUUAAUCUGUUAACCGAACGGCAUGGGAAGGCCGGUCAGAGAGUGUGAGAACCACGUAGGUGAAAACGGAGAGAGCUGCGCAGAUUCCAGAGUACGGCCAGACACGUGAAACCUGGUCGGAAGAUGGGGGGACCACCCUCCAACCCUAAAUACUACCCAGUGACCGAUAGCGUAUAGUACUGUGAAGGAAAGGUGAAAAGCACCCCGGGAGGGGAGUGAAAAAGAACCUGAAACCCUGUGCCUACAAGCACCUAGAGCGCGUCAAAGCGUGAUAGGGUACUUUUUGUAGAACGGUCCGGCGAGCGAUUGUAUGCAGCAAGGUUAAGGACUUAAGGUCUGGAGCCGAAGCGAAAGCGAGUUUGAAAAGGGCGUUAAGUUGCAUAUAAUGGGCCCGAAACCGGGUGACCUACCCAUGGUCAGGUUGAAGUGGAAGUAAAAUUCCAUGGAGGACCGAACCGACCUCCGUUGAAAAGGCGGCGGAUGAACUGUGGGUAGCGGAGAAAUUCCAAUCGAACCCGGAGAUAGCUGGUUCUCCCCGAAAUAGUUUUAGGACUAGCCUCAAGUUAGAUACCUGGAGGUAAAGCACUGAAUAGCCUAGCGGCCGAGAGGUUAGCGAAGCUUAUCAAACUCAGAAUGCCAGAGUAUUGAUGCUUGGGAGUCAGACAGUGUCAGAUAAAUGUCAUUGUCAAAAGGGAAACAGCCCAGAUCUACAGCUAAGGUCCCAAAGUCAGGUUAAGUGGAAAACGAUGUGAAGAUACGCAGACAACCAGGAUGUUGGCUCAGAAGCAGCCACUCAUUCAAAGAGUGCGUAAUAGCUCACUGGUCGAGCGUCUUUGCGCGGAGAAUUUAACGGGGCUAAACCUGACACCGAAGCUUAGGCAAUGUAGUAAUACAUUGGGUAGGGGAGCGUUGUAUACGCGGAGAAACAGUAGCGUAAGCGGCUGUGGAGUGUAUAGAAGUGAGAAUGCCGGAAUGAGUAGCGCGAAUGCAGUGAGAAUCUGCAUGGCCGAAAGCCUCAGGUUUCUGGAGGAAGGUUCGUCCGCUCCAGGUUAGUCGGGAGCUAAGGUGAGGCCGAAAGGCGUAGCCGAUGCACAGACGGUAGAGAUUCCGUCACCACCAAAAGAGUUAAGCACAGGGACACAUAUGAAGUCUCAGAGCCGGGUGUUGGUUCCGGUAGAGAUCGAGGGAAAUUAGUACCGAAGUCUGAGAUGGAAGAUGGCGAGAAAAGCUGUGUGUAUUUCUGAGGUGCCCGUACCGCAAACCGACACAGGUAGGUAGGAAGAAGAUUCUAAGGCCAACGGGAGAAGGGUUGUUAAGGAACUCGGCAAAUUGACCCCGUAACUUCGGGAGAAGGGGUGCUCCAGAGAUGGAGCCGCAGAGAAUCGGCCCAAGCAACUGUUUACCAAAAACACAGGUUUGUGCUAAAUCGAAAGAUGACGUAUACGAGCUGACGCCUGCCCGGUGCUGGAAGGUUAAGAGGAGAUGUGCAAGCAUUGAAUCGAAGCCCCAGUGAACGGCGGCCGUAACUAUAACGGUCCUAAGGUAGCGAAAUUCCUUGUCAGGUA